This 473-nucleotide ribosomal RNA is filed under the name uncultured organism. RNAcentral describes it as "partial 16S ribosomal RNA". It matches the Rfam family "Bacterial small subunit ribosomal RNA", at positions 333 to 797 of the family's 1533-position model. The record is from RNAcentral.
ACACUCCUACGGGAGGCAUCAGUGGGGAAUAUUGCACAAUGGGCGCAAGCCUGAUGCAGCCAUGCCGCGUGUAUGAAGAAGGCCUUCGGGUUGUAAAGUACUUUCAGCGGGGAGGAAGGCGAUAAGGUUAAUAACCUUGUCGAUUGACGUUACCCGCAGAAGAAGCACCGGCUAACUCCGUGCCAGCAGCCGCGGUAAUACGGAGGGUGCAAGCGUUAAUCGGAAUUACUGGGCGUAAAGCGCACGCAGGCGGUCUGUCAAGUCGGAUGUGAAAUCCCCGGGCUCAACCUGGGAACUGCAUUCGAAACUGGCAGGCUAGAGUCUUGUAGAGGGGGGUAGAAUUCCAGGUGUAGCGGUGAAAUGCGUAGAGAUCUGGAGGAAUACCGGUGGCGAAGGCGGCCCCCUGGACAAAGACUGACGCUCAGGUGCGAAAGCGUGGGGAGCAAACAGGAUUAGAUACCCCGGUAGUCCCA